UGGCGGGAUGCUUUACACAUGCAAGUCGGACGGCAGCACGGGGCUUCGGCCUGGUGGCGAGUGGCGAACGGGUGAGUAAUGUAUCGGAACGUGCCCGGUAGCGGGGGAUAACUACGCGAAAGCGUGGCUAAUACCGCAUACGCCCUACGGGGGAAAGCGGGGGACCUUCGGGCCUCGCACUAUUGGAGCGGCCGAUAUCGGAUUAGCUAGUUGGUGGGGUAACGGCCUACCAAGGCGACGAUCCGUAGCUGGUUUGAGAGGACGACCAGUCACACUGGGACUGAGACACGGCCCAGACUCCUACGGGAGGCAGCAGUGGGGAAUUUUGGACAAUGGGGGCAACCCUGAUCCAGCCAUCCCGCGUGUGCGAUGAAGGCCUUCGGGUUGUAAAGCACUUUUGGCAGGAAAGAAACGGCACGGGCUAAUAUCCUGUGCAACUGACGGUACCUGCA
Molecule: ribosomal RNA, 452 nt
Filed under: Bordetella holmesii
Lineage: Bacteria; Pseudomonadati; Pseudomonadota; Betaproteobacteria; Burkholderiales; Alcaligenaceae
Description: bacterial SSU rRNA
Rfam family: Bacterial small subunit ribosomal RNA
Source: RNAcentral